Megachile rotundata (alfalfa leafcutting bee) is the source of this 2350-nucleotide long non-coding RNA. RefSeq lists it as uncharacterized. The record is from RefSeq and is a predicted model, not a curated record. Lineage: Eukaryota; Metazoa; Arthropoda; Insecta; Hymenoptera; Megachilidae.
UUUUUAACAUUAUGUCACUUUUUUCCAGAGAAUAUUCGCAACAAUUUAUGCAGAAAAAUGUAUGCCAUUGCCGUUGCGAAACCAAAGUUUACCUGCAUAUUUCCUUUGGACUUACAAAGAAACGAAGAUUACGUCCUCCCCGAAAGGAACUAAAAAAACAAACAAGUCAUUCAAACGACCUGAAUUCUGCUGUUCGUAUAAGCAGCGAAGUUAAACAAUUUUAAUGAUCAAAUUAAUUGCUCCGUUUUAUACAGAUAAGCAAUACUUUGAGAUUUACAUGGAAGAUUUAAGAAGUACAUAGUAAGUUCCCGUGUUUGAGGAAGAAGAGAAAUAAAAUAGAAAUGAGAAUGUAUCAUGGACAGGUAACGUUUAAACGCAUUCCAGGUCGUAGAAUGGAAACCGCAUAUGGGAUUAUCCUUUACCGUGGUACAAUUACAAAUUUCAUGCUGGCACUUAACGCUAUGCAAAGUCUAACAGCUAGGCAGCAUUUACGGUUUCGACGUAAAUAACGGGUGGCAGAUAGCAGUUGGAUGAUAGAUAAAAAAGAAGAGAAGAACUCGCAGGCAGAGCAGACGGGAGAAGAACGUGAGGGCUGAGCCCUUAGUUAAUACGAGACAGGGAAUGCCGGACAAGAGAAGAAGAAGAAGAAGAAGGGAAGGUUAGGGGAACGAAGUCCGGACACCUAGGAGGUAUGUACGAGCAGAGAGAACGAAAAGAGACAACAGGCCUGUAGGUAUUAUAAAUCAAGAAGAGGUCCGUAAAGGGAACGUCGGUGGCGAAGGCGAAAGAAGAGCGAAGAAGAAACUCGCGAUGGAGGACGAGGGGAAGGUACACACAGGGGUAAGGGAUAAGGGAAGGCACGGUCGUACAUCACUGGCGGUAUUUACGACGUACCAUCGUAAAUCAAUGAUCGCACGAACAGCGCGGUUCAACGAAAUUCCUCUUCCCUUCCUAUAUGCUCUCCCUUACCUUUCAUCCCCUUCCUUCCGACCAUUCCCUCGCUUCCUGUACACGGCCCGAUGUGAGAAUCUGUCCAGCCAUACAUCGCCUCAGACGACGGAUGCUGAAGUCUAAGAAUCUUUGAAGGAAUCCUUGCCCUUACAACCGCCCAAGAUAUAUCGACGAAUUAUCCGCCAAGACAAAAACAAUUUGUCUUCGGUAUCAGAAUUUUCGAGCGUAAGACGAAUUCAUCGGCCCUGCUCGUUUCCUAAGGCGAUUUAUGCAACCAUCCUGCCAGAUUUUAUGUCACGUUUUUAACCCCUUCAUCUGACGCAUAGUUGUGGAGCUCUGGAUUAUGGCCAGACUGCGGUUAACUUAUGGCUACUCAUGGAUCGUUAUCACUUUGGGAAGCUUUAGGAAGUUUAGCUGAAUUUUCAUUCUUUACAGAUGGAUUUUACGGGACUGUUCUUGUAAUCUGUAAUGUGAAUGUGUAUACUGAGAUUGUCCCUAGAUCUGUAUGCUAAGGUUCUUAGAUUUCAAGUUCAUAGGUUUUGGGAUUCCAAAAUUCUGAAGUUUCUAUGUUUAUAGGCUGCUAAAUUUUGGGGUUCUGAGAUUCCAAGAUUCCAAUAUCCCAAAAUUUUUAAUUCCAAGAUACCAAGGUUCCAAGAUCCCAAGAUUCCAUGAAUCCAAGAUCCCAAGCUGAUCAAAAUUGCAAGGUUCUAAAGAUUCCUGCAGUUCCUAAAGUUUCUGAGGUUCCCAAGGUUCCUAAGGCUCCAAACUUCCAAAGAUUCCAAGUUUCCACAUACCUAAGACUCCAAAGUGCCCAAACUCAGAAAAUGAAAAAAUUCUCAGAUCCCAAAAUUCCAAGAUUCUAACAUUCCAAGAUUCCAACAUCCACAAAAUUCUAAAAUUCCAAGAUUCCAUGGUCCCCAAUAACUAAACUUUAACUCUCAGGUUUCAGGACUCCUUAGAUCCCAAGAUCCCUAUAUCUCCACAUUCCUAUAUCCUCAAAUCCCUCUAUCCCUCUAAGCCCCCACAUCUCUACAAUCCAAAUCUAUGUCCCCAUAGAACUUCAUCCCUUCAUAGUUCAUCAACCUUGACCUCCCAUCAAAUAGAAACCACAAACCCGUCUUCCAUAGACAAGGAAAUCAACCCAUAAGGUUAACAGUAUUGAAACUAUUUCACUUUUCUCCUACCAAGUACUAAAUAUCUACUCUAACCUACUUCAUAAUCCUAAACCAACAGAUUAAACCGUAUCGUUUAGCAUCCUCCCACGCUGUUAACGAGGAGCCUCUUCCGGUUCGACACAUUUGGUAAACAGAAACGAAGCACUCGAAAAAAGUUACAGAACGGAUCAAAGCGACCGUAUGCCUCCCAAAGAGAGGCAGAAACGUAAAAGGUCAGUUGCAGG